This 484-nucleotide ribosomal RNA is filed under the name uncultured bacterium. Its description in RNAcentral is "partial 16S ribosomal RNA". It matches the Rfam family "Bacterial small subunit ribosomal RNA", at positions 29 to 507 of the family's 1533-position model. The record is from RNAcentral.
AUUGAACGCUGGCGGCAUGCUUUACACAUGCAAGUCGAACGGCAGCGCGGGCUUCGGCCUGGCGGCGAGUGGCGAACGGGUGAGUAAUGCAUCGGAACGUGCCCAGUAGUGGGGGAUAGCCCGGCGAAAGCCGGAUUAAUACCGCAUACGACCUGAGGGUGAAAGCGGGGGACCGAAAGGCCUCGCGCUAUUGGAGCGGCCGAUGUCGGAUUAGCUAGUUGGUGGGGUAAAGGCUUACCAAGGCGACGAUCCGUAGCUGGUCUGAGAGGGCGACCAGCCAAACGUGGACUGAGACACGGCCCAGACUCCUAAGGGAGGCAGGAGUGGGGAAUUUUCGGAAAUGGGGGGAAACCUGAUCCAGCCAAGCCGCGUUGGGGAAGAAGGGCUUCGGGUUGUAAAACCCUUUUUGUCGGGAAGAAAAUCUUUUGGGUUAAAACCCCGGGGGAUGACGGUACCGGAAGAAUAAGCACCGGCUAACUACGUG